AUUGAAUGCUGGCGGCAUGCCUUACACAUGCAAGUCGAACGGCAGCACGGGGGCAACCCUGGUGGCGAGUGGCGAACGGGUGAGUAAUGCAUCGGAACGUGUCCUCUUGUGGGGGAUAACCAGUCGAAAGAUUGGCUAAUACCGCAUGCGAUCGCAAAAUGAAAGCGGGGGACCGCAAGGCCUCGCGCGAGAGGAGCGGCCGAUGCCGGAUUAGCUAGUUGGUGGGGUAAAAGCCUACCAAGGCGACAAUCCGUAGCUGGUCUGAGAGGACGACCAGCCACACUGGGACUGAGACACGGCCCAGACUCCUACGGGAGGCAGCAGUGGGGAAUUUUGGACAAUGGGCGCAAGCCUGAUCCAGCCAUGCCGCGUGUGUGAAGAAGGCCUUCGGGUUGUAAAGCACUUUCGGACGGAACGAAAUCGCGCGGACGAACAUUCCGCGUGGAUGACGGUACCGUAAGAAGAAGCACCGGCUAACUACGUGCCAGCAGCCGCAGUAA
This 500-nucleotide ribosomal RNA is filed under the name uncultured bacterium. RNAcentral describes it as "partial 16S ribosomal RNA". It matches the Rfam family "Bacterial small subunit ribosomal RNA", at positions 29 to 523 of the family's 1533-position model. The record is from RNAcentral.